This 439-nucleotide ribosomal RNA is filed under the name uncultured bacterium. Its description in RNAcentral is "partial 16S ribosomal RNA". It matches the Rfam family "Bacterial small subunit ribosomal RNA", at positions 338 to 795 of the family's 1533-position model. The record is from RNAcentral.
CCUACGGGAGGCUGCAGUGGGGAAUAUUGCACAAUGGGCGAAAGCCUGAUCCAGCCACGCCGCGUGAGCGAUGAAGGCCCUCGGGUUGUUAAGCCUUGUCUUCAAGGAAGCUAAUGACGGCACUUGAGGAGGAAGCCGCGGCUAAAUACGUGCCAGCAGCCGCGGGUAUACGUCGGGGGCUAGCGUUAUCCGGAAUUACUGGGCGUAAAGGGGGCGUAGGUGGUUUCUUAAGUCAGAGGUAAAAGGCUUGGGCUCAACCGUAGUGAGCCGUUGAAACUGGGGUACUGGAGUGCAGGAGAGGGAAGUGGAAUGCGUGGUGUAGCGGUGAAAUGCGUAGAUAUUAGGCAGAACACCGGUUGCGAAGGCGGCGCUCUGGACUGUAACUGACGCUGAGGCACGAAGGCGUGGGGAGCGAACAGGAUUAGAUACCCCAGUAGUC